RNAcentral lists this transfer RNA (81 nucleotides) under Blumeria hordei DH14. RNAcentral's name for it is "tRNA-Leu (CAA) (tRNA-Leu-CAA-3-1)". It matches the Rfam family "tRNA". From Rfam's summary of the family: Transfer RNA (tRNA) molecules are approximately 80 nucleotides in length. Their secondary structure includes four short double-helical elements and three loops (D, anti-codon, and T loops). The record is from RNAcentral. Lineage: Eukaryota; Fungi; Ascomycota; Leotiomycetes; Helotiales; Erysiphaceae. RNAcentral also lists the same sequence under 3 other names.
GGCUAGAUGGCCGAGCGGUUAUGGCGUGUGACUCAAGUUCUCAUGGGGAAACCCGCGGGGGUUCGAAUCCCCCUCUAGUCA